GAUAUUAGACUUGUUUUUCUAUGUAUUUGAAAAUUUUUAGAUCAAUCAAAUGGUGAAAAAGAGAGAUAUUGGCUCUAAGAGAUUGACAUCAAGGUUAGAGAAGGAAGGUAGCAAAUACUUGAGCACGUUUUUGAGGCUAUCGUCUAUUUGGUAGUUUCGAUAAUUUUUAAAUUUUUUAUAUUUUUUUUUAACUUAAUUUUUAAGAAGUAUGUAAAUUUUGAGUUAAGAUUGACGGUUCAUUCAUUAGUGAUUGAGGUUUGAAUCUGUUGUAGGAAUUACUAGGAUUUGAUCUAGGAUUAGGAUUUGGUUUAGGAUUUAGAAUUUGGUUAAGAUUUGAUUUAGGAUUUAGAAUUUGAUUAGGGUUUGAUUCAAGAUUUAGGAUUUGGUUAGGAUUUGAUUAGGGUUUGAUUUAGGAUUUAGGAUUUAAUUAGGAUUAAAUUAAGAUUUAAUUAAGAUAUAUUUGAGAUAUAUUUGUGAUCAUUCAAAUAUUUCUUUAAGAUUUCUUAUUGUUUCUUUGUAAUUUCUUUGAGGUUUCUUUGAAUUUUAUUAAAGCUUAUUUAAUAUUAUCAUGGUCUAAUUAAAGUUUAAUCAGUAUUUUAUUAGAGUUAGGAUUUUGUUGUUGCAAUUUCCAUUCUAUCUUCCAGAGCUAGGUGCCCAGAGCAUUCUCAAGCAAGACUUCACAUAUUACGACAUUGCAACAUUCAAAUUUUGGUACUCUUGACCUUGUCUACUCAAUAUGAUUGAUAUAACCUAUCCAAUUUGGAACCAUCUA
Molecule: long non-coding RNA, 772 nt
Filed under: Physcomitrium patens
Lineage: Eukaryota; Viridiplantae; Streptophyta; Bryopsida; Funariales; Funariaceae
Description: long non-coding RNA (PPAT_LNC007993)
Source: RNAcentral